CAGAUCUUUGGUGAUGAUGAUGGUGAUGGUGAUGAUGAUGAUCCUGCCGACUACGCCAACUGACACGAGCAGGACUGCAUCGAGGUCCCGUGAUCGCCCCCAGGUGGUCCUGGAGUCAGGAUCGCCUCUGCUCCAGUUUUCGGCGGACACAACCAUCUUUGUUUGUAUGUGGUGCUGAGGAUCGAACCCAGGCCGCACAAAUGCCAGGUUCCUUAGGAUUUUCUGCACACAAGGUCAUGUCACCUAUGAAUAAAGACAGGAGAAAACAGGCACAGUGGCUCAUGCUUACAACAGGUUCAUGCCUGUCUCUCUCUCUCUCUCUCUCUCUCUCUCUCUCUCU
This is a non-coding RNA of Ictidomys tridecemlineatus (thirteen-lined ground squirrel), 340 nucleotides long. Lineage: Eukaryota; Metazoa; Chordata; Mammalia; Rodentia; Sciuridae. The record is from RefSeq and is a predicted model, not a curated record.